This 723-nucleotide ribosomal RNA is filed under the name uncultured bacterium. Its description in RNAcentral is "bacterial SSU rRNA". It matches the Rfam family "Bacterial small subunit ribosomal RNA", at positions 772 to 1507 of the family's 1533-position model. The record is from RNAcentral.
ACAGGAUUAGAUACCCUGGUAGUCCACGCCGUAAACUAUGAAUGCUAGCUAUUGGCGAUACACAGUCAGUGGCACAGAGAAAUCGUUAAGCAUUCCACCUGGGGAGUACGCCGGCAACGGUGAAACUCAAAGGAAUUGACGGGGGCCCGCACAAGCGGAGGAACAUGUGGUUUAAUUCGAUGAUACGCGAGGAACCUUACCCGGGUUUGAACGCAGGGGGAAUGUGGUGGAAACAUUACAGCUAGCAAUAGCCGCCUGCGAGGUGCUGCAUGGUUGUCGUCAGCUCGUGCCGUGAGGUGUCGGCUUAAGUGCCAUAACGAGCGCAACCCUUAUUGAUAGUUACUAACAGGUAAAGCUGAGGACUCUAUCGAGACUGCCGGCGCAAGCCGUGAGGAAGGUGGGGAUGACGUCAAAUCAGCACGGCCCUUACAUCCGGGGCGACACACGUGUUACAAUGGUGGGUACAGAGGGUCGCUACCUGGUGACAGGAUGCUAAUCUCCAAAACCCAUCUCAGUUCGGAUCGGAGUCUGCAACUCGACUCCGUGAAGCUGGAUUCGCUAGUAAUCGCGCAUCAGCCAUGGCGCGGUGAAUACGUUCCCGGGCCUUGUACACACCGCCCGUCAAGCCAUGGGAGCCGGGGGGACCUGAAGUACGUAACCGCAAGGAGCGUCCUAGGGUAAAACUGGUGACUGGGGCUAAGUCGUAACAAGGUAACCAAGGGC